AGGAGUUUUGCAUUCGGUUACUUUGUCUUUUUAAUCUCUUUUGUUCCCGGGUUGGGUAACGCCAUAUUGAGUGAUGGAUUUGAGAACUGCAGGCUUGCACAAUCCCAGUUUUGUAAUCUACCACAAACUGAUCUCAUUUUCAGGUGCUCGGUAUUUUGAUGUGCCAAUUAACUAGGGAUCAGUUGCUAUGACAUAAUGUACUUGUUCCGGAGCUUGAAUAAGACGGCUUCUAUCCAAGAAACAGUUACUCUUCCUGGAUUUGUACAGAUCAGAGAAAUGGAUCUGCACCACCCACAAAACUCGUCUGCCGCAAAGUACAUAAAAACGAAGUGGCAUUCAAUUAGGUGAGAGGAAAAAUUACAGAGGGACAGACAGAAACGGAUGUUCCAGCGAUAUUUCAACAGAACGACACUAGAAGGGACACGUCCAUUUGAUUUCCGUUUUAACUCCGCGCCUCCCAAGGACUUUCCAGCCUCUCUCUCGCCGUUCAUUGUGGCUACAGAUCUUCAUCUGCCCUGGUCUGCCAACUGACAUUUAAAUCACGCUGCAGACAAUGAAUCGAUACUUAUGGAUUCCUGGCCCUGGGCUUUUGCCCACCGAGUUGUUACGGGAGGCUGUCUCUCCCGCGGGCAGGGCCAGCAGGCCCA
This is a non-coding RNA of Pelodiscus sinensis (Chinese soft-shelled turtle), 647 nucleotides long. NCBI's taxonomy places the organism in Eukaryota, Metazoa, Chordata, Testudines, Trionychidae. The record is from RefSeq and is a predicted model, not a curated record.